Molecule: long non-coding RNA, 522 nt
Filed under: Homo sapiens (human)
Lineage: Eukaryota; Metazoa; Chordata; Mammalia; Primates; Hominidae
Description: non-protein coding lnc-KRBOX4-1:1
Source: RNAcentral
UGGCAUGAUCAUCAUGGUUGAAGCUGUGCCCAAAGCCUGGCCCUUGGCCUGAGGGGAAGUUGAGACAAUCAGCAGUAUUGGGAGAUGAGGCAAAGGUGUUCGUGGGGGCUCUCAGGCAGUGGGAACAACGAUGUGAGCCUUCACAGGGUUGCUCUAGCUUUGCUCCCUGGGAAGCAGGCUCUGAGAUGAAGAUCAGCAUGCAGGACUUUUGGGAGGGAGUGCUCUUGGAAUCAACUCCUAUAGGAGAGGAAAGAAAGAAAGGAUGCAGAAUUGGGAGGAGAAAAGUGGAGCUGUGAUUCAUUCCCAACAGAAGCCUCAGCCAAUCCCGCAGGAAGUUCUGAAGAUGGGAUGGUCCUUCACCUGAUCUGGUGCUGGGGUAUUGGCUCCAAGAGCACUUCCUAAUAAACACCCUAUAUGCUGAUCUCCAUCUCAGAGUCUCAUCCCUGGUGGCCUCACACUGUGACAGUCAUCUUUAGUUCUGAUGUUAGUCUAACAUUUGAUCUGUUCUGAUCUCAAGUCCUC